Ribosomal RNA from Hucho hucho (huchen), 119 nucleotides. Lineage: Eukaryota; Metazoa; Chordata; Actinopteri; Salmoniformes; Salmonidae. The record is from Ensembl.
ACUUACGGCCAUACCAUCCUGAAUACUCCCGAUCUCGUCUGGUCUCGGAAGCUAAGCAGGGUCGGGCCUGGUUAGUACUUGGAUGGGAGACCAACUGGGAAUACCAAGUGCUGUAAGUG